CCUACGGGAGGCAGCAGUAGGGAAUCUUCCACAAUGGACGAAAGUCUGAUGGAGCAACGCCGCGUGAGUGAAGAAGGGUUUCUGCUCGUAAAGCUCUGUUGGUAGUGAAGAAAGAUAGAGGUAGUAACUGCCCUUUAUUUGACGGUACUUACUUAGAAAGUCACGGCUAACUACGUCCCAGCAGCCGCGGUAAUACGUAGGUGGCAAGCGUUGUCCGGAUUUAUUGGGCGUAAAGCGAGUGCAGGCGGUUCAAUAAGUCUGAUGUGAAAUCCUUCGGCUCAACCGGAGAAUUGCAUCAGAUACUGUUGAACUUGAGUGCAGAAGAGGAGGGUGGAACUCCAUGUGUAGCGGUGGAAUGCGUAGAUAUAUGGAAGAACACCAGUGGCGAAGGCGGCUCUCUGGGCUACGACUGACGCUGAGGCUCGAAAGCAUGGGUAGCGAACAGGAUUAGAUACCCCUGUAGUC
This 465-nucleotide ribosomal RNA is filed under the name uncultured bacterium. RNAcentral describes it as "partial 16S ribosomal RNA". It matches the Rfam family "Bacterial small subunit ribosomal RNA", at positions 338 to 795 of the family's 1533-position model. The record is from RNAcentral.